RNAcentral lists this transfer RNA (56 nucleotides) under Nematodirus oiratianus. Its description in RNAcentral is "tRNA-Leu". The record is from RNAcentral. Lineage: Eukaryota; Metazoa; Nematoda; Chromadorea; Rhabditida; Molineidae.
AUACAUUUAGUAUAUAUAAUAUAUUAAAUUUAGGUUUUAAAGAUUGAUAAUGUAUU